GACGAACGCUGGCGGCGUGCUUAACACAUGCAAGUCGAACGGAGAGGCCCUGCUUAUGUUGGGUCCCCGAGGCGUGAACGGGUGAAUAACGCGUGAGUGUCCUGCCCUUGACUUGGGAAUAACUUCAGAAACCUGGGGCUAAUAACGAAUAGAAACACCUACGGCACGGGGGGGAGUGGAAAUUUUCGGCGGUUGGGGAUGGACUGGAGGCCUAUCAGGUUGUUGGUGGGGUAGUGGCCUACCAGGGCGUUGACGGGUAGUCGGCCUGAGAGGGUGGCCGGCCACAUUGGGACUGGAAUACGACCCAGACUCCUACGGGAGGCAACAGAGGGGAAUAUUGCACAAUGGGCGGAAGCCUGAUGUAGCAACGCCGCGUGCGGGAUGACAGCCUUCGCGUUGUAAACCGCUUUCGCCUGUGACGAAGCGUGAGUGACGGUAAUGGGUAAAGAAGCACCGGCUAACUACGUG
RNAcentral lists this ribosomal RNA (468 nucleotides) under uncultured bacterium. RNAcentral's name for it is "partial 16S ribosomal RNA". It matches the Rfam family "Bacterial small subunit ribosomal RNA", at positions 28 to 507 of the family's 1533-position model. The record is from RNAcentral.